This is a small nuclear RNA of Grammomys surdaster, 103 nucleotides long. The record is from RefSeq and is a predicted model, not a curated record. Lineage: Eukaryota; Metazoa; Chordata; Mammalia; Rodentia; Muridae.
UUCCUUCAGUAGCAUAUAUACUGAAAUUUAAACAAUACAGAAAAGAUUUGUAUGGCUCUUGCACAAAGACAACACUUGAAUUUGUAAAAAUUUUCCAUAUUUU